This is a long non-coding RNA of Bactrocera dorsalis (oriental fruit fly), 791 nucleotides long. RefSeq lists it as uncharacterized. NCBI's taxonomy places the organism in Eukaryota, Metazoa, Arthropoda, Insecta, Diptera, Tephritidae. The record is from RefSeq and is a predicted model, not a curated record. The transcript is spliced from 3 exons.
AGGAUCCAAGCGCGUCAGGAAGUCGGGAGUGUGAAAAUAAUAUAUCUCCAACAACAACCCAACCAAUUGUAGCUAAAGAAACUGUUAAUAUAGCAACUGAAAUAAUGAAUGGCGAAAAAGAAAUGCAGAAGAAAAAGGGAAAGAGCACUGCAUUGACUAAAGUAACCCAGGAUUUGGCGCCUGUGAGAGAGCAAAUUGCUGAAAGACGCAAUAGAACGUUGGUUGGGCAAUUUGGUCUCUGCGAAAAUGGAGGAGAUAGUUCCUCACAUGCGAGAAGACGCUCAAUGGGAGAUCCAAUGCCUUAUGCGCCGUUUAAAACAAAAAUCAAACAGAUAUCGUGAUUCGCAAUUACAAUCACCUCAAAACGACUUACUUCAGAAUACAAUGAGUGGGAUUUUUGAAGAUGAAGAUUUUAAUUUUUGUAAGUAAUGCACAUUUAUAGUAUGUAUAUAAUUUAUCAAAUUAAAUAAGUAAAUAAUAAAAAAUAUUUUUUUCAGGACCGAUUAAUAUAUAUAAUGGAAAAGUUUGAAUGAAAUGUGACUGAAAUAAAAUUUUAAGGCUGGCUUUUUUGAAAUACAAAUAAUGUAGAUAUUUUUAUAUAAUGUAUAUACAUAUGUAUAUUACAUUUCAUAAUGGUAAAUGAAAAGCUUUUUAAAAUUACAGAAUUAUGGCUGCCAAUCAACUCUUCCUUCCAUAUUAAAAUAGGCCAUAUGUAUAUUCUUGCCGAAUAGUUUCUGGCCUACCCCUCCUCGGAUUGUUGCUAUUAACAGAAGCUUGAAAAUAUCUUUCAG